UACGUAGGGUGCGAGCGUUGUCCGGAAUUAUUGGGCGUAAAGGGCUCGUAGGCGGUUUGUCGCGUCGGGAGUGAAAACCAGGUGCUUAACACCUGGCUUGCUUUCGAUACGGGCAGACUAGAGGUAUGCAGGGGAGAACGGAGUUCCUGGUGUAGCGGUGAAAUGCGCAGAUAUCAGGAGGAACACCGGUGGCGAAGGCGGUUCUCUGGGCAUGACCUGACGCUGAGGAGCGGAAGUGUGGGGAGCGAACAGG
Molecule: ribosomal RNA, 253 nt
Filed under: uncultured bacterium
Lineage: Bacteria
Description: partial 16S ribosomal RNA
Rfam family: Bacterial small subunit ribosomal RNA
Source: RNAcentral